GUAGGUGGCAAGCGUUGUCCGGAAUUAUUGGGCGUAAAGCGCGCGCAGGCGGUUCUUUAAGUCUGAUGUGAAAGCCCACGGCUCAACCGUGGAGGGUCAUUGGAAACUGGAGAACUUGAGUACAGAAGAGGAAAGCGGAAUUCCACGUGUAGCGGUGAAAUGCGUAGAGAUGUGGAGGAACACCAGUGGCGAAGGCGGCUUUCUGGUCUGUAACUGACGCUGAGGCGCGAAAGCGUGGGGAGCAAACAGGGAUUAGAUACCCUGGUAGUCCACGCCGUAAACCGAUGAGUGCUAAGUGUUAGGGGGGUUUUCCGCCCCCUUAGUGCUGCAGCUAACGCAUUAAGCACUCCGCCUGGGGAGUACGGCCGCAAGGCUG
RNAcentral lists this ribosomal RNA (376 nucleotides) under uncultured organism. Its description in RNAcentral is "partial 16S ribosomal RNA". It matches the Rfam family "Bacterial small subunit ribosomal RNA", at positions 527 to 896 of the family's 1533-position model. The record is from RNAcentral.